AUGUACCUAUCUUUCACGUUUGUGAGAUAAAAUUAUCGUUGAUAUUGAAAUAAAAUAAUAAAUUCAAAUGAAAAUGUAAGUUAAUUUUCUUCGUAAUAUUGAUCUGGGUUUCCCUCACCUCAUUUCCUAAUACUUUGCUUGAAUAUUGUAAGGACUCCAUCUAUCUGAAGGUAACCUUAUGAAAAGGCUGAGACGAAAUUUGUUUUUCAUGCUGCUAAAGGACUACGCCUCCCGUCCAAUCCCCGAAGAGCUUCUCACCUCAGGCGUUGAGCGUUAUGCGUUAUGCAUUAAGUGUUACGCGUUACUCUUUAUUAUUAUAUAUCACAGAGUAAGAUACGAGGGAACUUUUGAGACAAUUUAUACACGAUAUCACUUUUUCAGAUAUCUCAUUGGCCAGAAAAACUAGAUCCAAGAUAUCUGACCAUGGCGAGGGACGCUAAAAAAUUUAAACUGGUGAAUGGUGAGCUGGAGGACAUAACAGGGCCUUUCCAUGUACCGGGGAAAAAGGUCAUCGGCGCUGGACUGUUCCCAGCUCUGCGGCAAAUCCCGGGGGCUGAGAUCUUUAGUUUCUCGCAUAAUAAAAUCAAGGAUAUAAAAACUGAUACUUUUAGGUAUAAUCUAGCACUUCGAGAGAUUUAUUUGGAUCACAACGAGAUCACCAAGUUAAGUCCUGAUGCGUUCAAACAUCUUCGGAAUUUAGAAAAACUGGUAUUAAGCGACAAUAAAAUCACUUUGGUGCCGCAUGGGUUACCUCCAAGUCUGAGCCACUUGGACCUAUCGAACAACCUUUGUUAUCAAACGACGUCUUCAAUGGAAAUCAUCCUUCCGGAGAAACUAUCGUACCUAAAUUUAUGCGGGAAUUAUUUGCGAAAUUCGAAAGUUUUCAGGAGAGUAUCGUUUGCGAACAUCAAAACUUUGUGCAUUGGGGACGAAGGCCCACAGCUGCCGAUUGAAUUAUCGCGUGAUUUAUCCGCCUUGAUGCGCUUACAGAAUCUUACGCUUUCCGCUAAACGGAAUGAUGAUAAUACGGAUCUCACCGAUAGGACGGCUCAAGAUCUUGAAAAACUGAGAUUUCUAGUCGAGUUGAAUUUAGGUAAGCCUGCGAAAUGCAAAUUGCUUUAUUCAAGGAGAGCGAGCCACCCUAAGGGAAUCUCAUGUUUUUAAAAGUCAAAUUGAAGUAUCCAUACUAACAGGAACUAUGAGUCUAGGGCUUUGGUGCAACAUAGUUCCUUUUGACUCAUAUACGUUCAAAUGAACCCUCCAUUCGCAAUUAGAAACUACAAU
RNAcentral lists this long non-coding RNA (1284 nucleotides) under Bemisia tabaci. Its description in RNAcentral is "lncRNA ENSASIAIIG011330". The record is from RNAcentral. Lineage: Eukaryota; Metazoa; Arthropoda; Insecta; Hemiptera; Aleyrodidae.